RNAcentral lists this transfer RNA (69 nucleotides) under Tropiocolotes tripolitanus. RNAcentral describes it as "tRNA-Glu". Lineage: Eukaryota; Metazoa; Chordata; Lepidosauria; Squamata; Gekkonidae. The record is from RNAcentral.
GUUUUUAUAGUUGAAUAACAACGGUGGUUCUUCAAACCACAGGUUUUGGUGAUAGGCCAAGUAAAAAUG